This 484-nucleotide ribosomal RNA is filed under the name uncultured bacterium. RNAcentral's name for it is "bacterial SSU rRNA". It matches the Rfam family "Bacterial small subunit ribosomal RNA", at positions 30 to 504 of the family's 1533-position model. The record is from RNAcentral.
UGAACGCUGGCGGCAUGCCUAACACAUGCAAGUCGAACGGAAACGAUGGGAGCUUGCUCCCAGGCGUCGAGUGGCGGACGGGUGAGUAACACAUAGGAAUCUGCCCAGUAGCGGGGGACAACUUGGGGAAACUCAAGCUAAUACCGCAUACGCCCUACGGGGGAAAGCAGGGGAUCUUCGGACCUUGCACUAUUGGAUGAGCCUAUGUCAGAUUAGCUUGUUGGUGGGGUAAUGGCCUACCAAGGCGACGAUCUGUAGCUGGUCUGAGAGGACGAUCAGCCACACUGGGACUGAGACACGGCCCAGACUCCUACGGGAGGCAGCAGUGGGGAAUAUUGCACAAUGGGCGAAAGCCUGAUGCAGCAAUGCCGCGUGUGUGAAGAAGGCCUGCGGGUUGUAAAGCACUUUCAGUAGGGAGGAAACAGUUGCGGGUUAAUAUCCCGCGACCUUGACGUUACCUACAGAAGAAGCACCGGCUAACUCU